CGGGACACGUGGUAUCCUGUCUGAAUAUGGGGGGACCAUCCUCCAAGGCUAAAUACUCCUGACUGACCGAUAGUGAACCAGUACCGUGAGGGAAAGGCGAAAAGAACCCCGGCGAGGGGAGUGAAAAAGAACCUGAAACCGUGUACGUACAAGCAGUGGGAGCCUCUUUAUGGGGUGACUGCGUACCUUUUGUAUAAUGGGUCAGCGACUUAUAUUCUGUAGCAAGGUUAACCGAAUAGGGGAGCCGAAGGGAAACCGAGUCUUAACUGGGCGUUAAGUUGCAGGGUAUAGACCCGAAACCCGGUGAUCUAGCCAUGGGCAGGUUGAAGGUUGGGUAACACUAACUGGAGGACCGAACCGACUAAUGUUGAAAAAUUAGCGGAUGACUUGUGGCUGGGGGUGAAAGGCCAAUCAAACCGGGAGAUAGCUGGUUCUCCCCGAAAGCUAUUUAGGUAGCGCCUCGUGAAUUCAUCUCCGGGGGUAGAGCACUGUUUCGGCAAGGGGGUCAUCCCGACUUACCAACCCGAUGCAAACUGCGAAUACCGGAGAAUGUUAUCACGGGAGACACACGGCGGGUGCUAACGUCCGUCGUGAAGAGGGAAACAACCCAGACCGCCAGCUAAGGUCCCAAAGUCAUGGUUAAGUGGGAAACGAUGUGGGAAGGCCCAGACAGCCAGGAUGUUGGCUUAGAAGCAGCCAUCAUUUAAAGAAAGCGUAAUAGCUCACUGGUCGAGUCGGCCUGCGCGGAAGAUGUAACGGGGCUAAACCAU
This 770-nucleotide ribosomal RNA is filed under the name Escherichia coli. RNAcentral describes it as "partial 23S ribosomal RNA". It matches the Rfam family "Bacterial large subunit ribosomal RNA", at positions 418 to 1190 of the family's 2925-position model. The record is from RNAcentral. Lineage: Bacteria; Pseudomonadati; Pseudomonadota; Gammaproteobacteria; Enterobacterales; Enterobacteriaceae.